UGGGGAAUUUUGGACAAUGGGGGAAACCCUGAUCCAGCCAUCCCGCGUGUGCGAUGAAGGCCUUCGGGUUGUAAAGCACUUUUGGCAGGAAAGAAACGUCAUGGGUUAAUACCCCGUGAAACUGACGGUACCUGCAGAAUAAGCACCGGCUAACUACGUGCCAGCAGCCGCGGUAAUACGUAGGGUGCAAGCGUUAAUCGGAAUUACUGGGCGUAAAGCGUGCGCAGGCGGUUCGGAAAGAAAGAUGUGAAAUCCCAGAGCUCAACUUUGGAACUGCAUUUUGAACUACCGGGCUAGAGUGUGUCAGAGGGAGGUGGAAUUCCGCGUGUAGCAGUGAAAUGCGUAGAUAUGCGGAGGAACACCGAUUGCGAAGGCAGCCUCCUGGGAUAACACUGACGCUCAUGCACGAAAGCGUGGGGAGCAAACAGG
RNAcentral lists this ribosomal RNA (429 nucleotides) under Acidobacteriota bacterium. Its description in RNAcentral is "Acidobacteria bacterium partial 16S ribosomal RNA". It matches the Rfam family "Bacterial small subunit ribosomal RNA", at positions 355 to 776 of the family's 1533-position model. The record is from RNAcentral. Lineage: Bacteria; Pseudomonadati; Acidobacteriota.